AACGCAACUUGCGCCCCCUUGGGGCAUGUCUGUUUGAGAACCGCAACAACCUAACCCCCCGGGGUUGAGCUGCACCGUGCUGCGCAGCGGCUGGUGCGAAAGGCAGCAGGAGAGGGCGCGGAGCCGACCAUGUGCUGGGACCUCGGUCACGUCAUGGCGCGGCGACCAAGCCCGAUAUCAAACAUUUGGUCUCAAAUCAGGCAAGACUACCCGCUGAACUUAA
RNAcentral lists this unclassified non-coding RNA (223 nucleotides) under uncultured fungus. Its description in RNAcentral is "partial contains 5.8S ribosomal RNA, internal transcribed spacer 2, and large subunit ribosomal RNA". The record is from RNAcentral. Lineage: Eukaryota; Fungi. RNAcentral also lists the same sequence under 1 other name.